AGAGUUUGAUCCUGGCUCAGAACGAACGCUGGCGGCGUGGAUUAGGCAUGCAAGUCGUGCGAGAAAGGGGUGGCAACACCCUGAGUACAGCGGCGAACUGGUGAGUAACAGGUGGGUAACGUGCCCUGAAGUUGGGGAUAACACCGGGAAACCGGUGCUAAUACCGAAUGUGAUCCUUCGGACCAUGGUCUGAAGGGUUAAAGCAGCAAUGCGCUUCAGGAUCGGCCCGCCCCCGAUUAGCUAGUUGGUGAGGUAAAAGCUCACCAAGGCGACGAUCGGUAGCUGGUCUGAGAGGAUGGUCAGCCACACUGGGACUGAGAUACGGCCCAGACUCCUACGGGGGGCAGCAGUCUAGAGGCUUCGGCAAUGGGGGCAACCCUGACCGAGCGACGCCGCGUGUGGGAUUGAAGGCCUUCGGGUCGUAAACCACUGUCAUAGGGGAAGAAUGCCCGGAUGGCGAAUCCGGGAGGGACGGUACCCUAGGAGGAAGCCCCGGCUAACUCCGUGCCAGCAGCCGCGGUAAUACGGAGGGGGCAAGCGUUGUUCGGAUUUACUGGGCGUAAAGGGUGUGUAGGCGGCUGGGCAAGUCUGGUGUGAAAUCUUCACCGCUUAACGGGAAGAGGUCACUGGAAACUGCCUAGCUCGAGUGUGGUAGAGGCAAGCGGAAUUCCUGGUGUAGCGGUGGAAUGUGUAGAUAUCAGGAAGAACAUCUGUGGCGAAGGCGGCUUGCUGGGCCAUCACUGACGCUGAGACACGAAAGCGUGGGGAGCAAACGGGAUUAGAUACCCCGGUAGUCCACGCUGUAAACGGUGCGCACUAGGUGUGGGAGGUAUCGACCCCUCCUGUGCCGAAGUUAACACAUUAAGUGCGCCGCCUGGGGAGUACGGGCCGCAAGGUUGAACUCAAGGAAUUGACGGAA
This 919-nucleotide ribosomal RNA is filed under the name uncultured bacterium. RNAcentral's name for it is "bacterial SSU rRNA". It matches the Rfam family "Bacterial small subunit ribosomal RNA", at positions 8 to 918 of the family's 1533-position model. The record is from RNAcentral.